Molecule: ribosomal RNA, 404 nt
Filed under: uncultured bacterium
Lineage: Bacteria
Description: bacterial SSU rRNA
Rfam family: Bacterial small subunit ribosomal RNA
Source: RNAcentral
AACGAACGCUGGCGGCGCGCCUAACACAUGCAAGUCGAACGAGAAUCCGGGGCAACCCGGUAGUAAAGUGGCAAACGGGUGAGGAAUACAUGGGUAACCUACCCUUGAGAAGGGAAUAACCCGCCGAAAGGUGAGCUAAUACCCUAUACGCUAUCUUUUUUUCGAAAGGAUAGGAAAGCCGGGUCGAGGACCUGGUACUCAAGGAGGGGCUCAUGUCCUAUCAGCUUGUUGGUGGGGUAACGGCCUACCAAGGCUACGACGGGUAGCUGGUCUGAGAGGAUGAUCAGCCACACUGGCACUGAGAUACGGGCCAGACUCCUACGGGAGGCAGCAGUGAGGAAUAUUGCGCAAUGGGCGAAAGCCUGACGCAGCGACGCCGCGUGGGGGAGUGAAGGUUUUCGGUA